RNAcentral lists this ribosomal RNA (429 nucleotides) under Chloroflexota bacterium. Its description in RNAcentral is "Chloroflexi bacterium partial 16S ribosomal RNA". It matches the Rfam family "Bacterial small subunit ribosomal RNA", at positions 355 to 776 of the family's 1533-position model. Lineage: Bacteria; Bacillati; Chloroflexota. The record is from RNAcentral.
UAGGGAAUCUUCGGCAAUGGACGACAGUCUGACCGAGCAACGCCGCGUGAGUGAAGAAGGUUUUCGGAUCGUAAAACUCUGUUGUUAGAGAAGAACAAGGACGUUAGUAACUGAACGUCCCCUGACGGUAUCUAACCAGAAAGCCACGGCUAACUACGUGCCAGCAGCCGCGGUAAUACGUAGGUGGCAAGCGUUGUCCGGAUUUAUUGGGCGUAAAGCGAGCGCAGGCGGUUUCUUAAGUCUGAUGUGAAAGCCCCCGGCUCAACCGGGGAGGGUCAUUGGAAACUGGGAGACUUGAGUGCAGAAGAGGAGGGUGGAAUUCCAUGUGUAGCGGGGAAAUGCGUGGAUAUAUGGAGGAACACCAGUGGCGAAGGCGGCUCUCUGGUCUGUAACUGACGCUGAGGCUCGAAAGCGUGGGGAGCAAACAGG